GAGAAUGCACUGGGGCUGACGACAAGGCUGGAACGUCCCGGGAUUGAAGCUUGGAUCCGAACUGUUGGACAGCGUCUGGAGUUUUGCACAAAAGAGAAUUGAAUUGUAGAUCAGCUGGGAAGUUACUGUGGUAGUCCUGGUGCCCUGCGGCCUCCAGCGACUGGAACCCUGUGGGAGCACAUAGCUGGCAUUUUUUGCUAGAGAUUAGGAAGUCUUUUGCUUCCUCUGUGAAAAGGCUUGAAUUCAAUGGACUGUUGUGGACUUCAACUAACCAACUAAAGAACUGUUCCCCAGAGCAUUGUUCCUGAGGAGGAAAAGAGCCCAAACACCCACCCACACCUGCUUUGUGCCAAGAAUCCACAGUUGGAUUGCAAGGACAGUGUGUUCAAGACCCAGCUGCUGAGAGUAGAAAAGCAGAAGAAAGGACCCGAGGUCAGCAAGUGCUCUCCCCACAAUGGGGCAGAUCUGCCAGCGAGAAUCGGCUACAGCAGCUGAAAAACCAAAACUUCAUCUACUUGCUGAAAGUGAGAUUGACAAGUAUCUCUAUGCCAUGCGGCUCUCUGAUGAAACUCUCAUAGAUAUCAUGACUCGCU
RNAcentral lists this small RNA (593 nucleotides) under Pongo abelii (Sumatran orangutan). RNAcentral's name for it is "processed transcript". The record is from RNAcentral. Lineage: Eukaryota; Metazoa; Chordata; Mammalia; Primates; Hominidae.